GGGGAUGCCUCGGGUGCAAGAAGGCGAAGAAGGUCGUGGCACGCAACGAUACGCCUCAGGGAGCCGCGUCGCAGGCGUCGAUCUGAGGAUCACCGAAUGGGGCAACCCCUCGGCCGACCGGCCGAGACGGCAUCUCAACGGAGAUGACCGGGCAGAAUGCGGGAACUGAAACAUCUCAGUACCGCAAUCGGAAAAGCAAACGCGAACUCCGUAGUAGCGGCGAGCGAACCGGAGCCUUGUCUAAACGGAUCGGCCUUGACCGGGCUGGAGGCCCUGUCGAUCCGGGUUGCAGGCCAUGUUGGGGGCGGCCUCCAGGUCCCGCCCGCGGCCCGUCCGGGCCGCCGGAUUGAAGCUGUUGGAAUGCAGCGCCCAAGUGGGUGAAAGCCCCGUCGGUCCGGCCCCGGAAGGCUGUGCAGCAUGCGCCUAAGUACCACCGGGCUCGUGAAACCCGGUGGGAAGCAGGGUGGCCCACCACCCAAGACUGCCGACUUCUUGACACCGAUAGUGGAGAGUACCGUGAGGGAACGGUGAAAAGCCCCCCGGGAGGGGAGUGAAAGAGACCCUGAAACCGUGUGCUGACAACCCGUCAGAGUCCCUUUGGGGGAUGAUGGCGUGCCUAUUGAAGAAUGAACCGGCGAGUGACCGGUCCCCGCAAGGUUAACCCCCGGGAGGGGGGCAGCCGGAGCGCAAGCGAGUCCGUGCAGGGCGUGAGUGAGGAUCGGUCGACCCGAAACCGUGUGAUCUAGCCGGCGCCAGGCUGAAGUCCCCUUAACCCGGGAUGGAGGGCCGAACCCGUGUCCGUUGAAAAGGGCUGGGAUGAGCGGCGGUUAGGGGUGAAAUGCCAAUCGAACACGGAGAUAGCUGGUUCUCCCCGAAAUCGCUUGAGGGCGAGCCUCCAAGAUCGCGUCCAUCGGGGUAGCGCUCUGUGAAUGGAAGGGGUCCCGCCGGGAUUACUGCCUGUUCGCAAACGACAAAGUCGAUGGACCGCUUGUGGGAGUCAGACGCUGGGGGAUAAGCUCCAGGGUCAAAAGGGCAACAGCCCAGAUCGUCCGUUAAGGUCCCUAAAUCACCGCUGAGUGGUAAAGGACGUCGAUGGGCCCAGACAGCCAGGAGGUUGGCUUAGAAGCAGCCAUCCUUGAAAGAGUGCGUAAUAGCUCACUGGUCGCAGUCCGCCGGCGCCGAUAAUGUUCGGGGCUAAGUGGUGUACCGAAACGGCGACUGUCUCGGCCGUCCGGCCGAGAUGGGGUAGGGGAGCGUCCCGUGGGGGGUGAAGGUCCGCUGGAAGGCGGGGUGGACCCCACGGGAGUGCGAAUGCCGGUAUGAGUAGCGAAAAGGGAUGUGCGAAUCAUCCCCGCCGAAAGCCGCCGGGUUCCGGAGCCAGGAUCGUCCGCUCCGGGUUAGUCGGACCUAAGGCGAGGCCGUCAAGGCGUAGUCGAUGGAGACACGGUGGAGAUUCCGUGACCUCCAUCCGUUGGCGAAGCCUGCGGGACAGUCCCGCGUCGAGAAGCGCCCCGUUGGUUGUGGGCGUGGCCUUCGGGCCCGACGGUCCCCCGCGAGGGGGGCCGAUAGUCGCCGGCGUGGGGCUCCAGAAAAGCGCAGGGGGAGACGGAUGGAGUCCGUACCCGAAACCGACACAGGUAGGCGAGGCGAGAAGCCUCAGGCGCGCGAGUGACCUCUCGUUAAGGAACUCGGCAAAAUGCCCCCGUACCUUCGGAAGAAGGGGGCCCGGCCCGGUCUCGGGCCGGGGACACACAAGAGACCCAAGCGACUGUUUACCAAAAACACAGGUCCCUGCGAAGUCGUAAGACGCCGUAUAGGGGCUGACGCCUGCCCGGUGCUGGAAGGUGAAGGAGCGGGGUUCACGCCCCAACCCGAAGCCCCAGUCAACGGCGGCCGUAACUAUAACGGUCCUAAGGUAGCGAAAUUCCUUGUCGGGUAAGUUCCGACCCGCACGAAAGGCGUAACGACUUGGGUACUGUCUCAACGAGAGACUCGGUGAAAUUGCAAGCCCUGUGAAGAUGCAGGGUACUGACGACUGGACAGAAAGACCCCGUGGAGCUUGACUGCAGCCUGCUAUGGGUCGUUCGGGCCGCGUGUACAGGAUAGGUGGGAGGCGGAGAA
This 2121-nucleotide ribosomal RNA is filed under the name Sulfobacillus harzensis. Its description in RNAcentral is "Bacterial large subunit ribosomal RNA". It matches the Rfam family "Bacterial large subunit ribosomal RNA", at positions 24 to 2161 of the family's 2925-position model. The record is from Rfam by way of RNAcentral. Lineage: Bacteria; Bacillati; Bacillota; Clostridia; Eubacteriales; Clostridiales Family XVII. Incertae Sedis.